UUCUCUUAAGAAUCUAAAAGGGGUUGCUUACCCACUAUGUUUUUAUUGUAUUUGAAUUUCAACGAUUAAAAAUGACACCAUGAACAAAAGCGGAAGCUCAGAGAAGCUUCAGACAAUGAGACGAAGGAGAAGAUUUGACUAAAAUAGAUUCGGGUUGAGGUAGAUCCGAAUUGAUGGAUUAUAAUAAACAUUGGAAGCAAUUUCAGUAUCAAAAUCACAUGUAAUCUAUACAACUAGCAUAAACCGGAUUUCACGGGUUACCUCUUGAAGCGUGAACAUAUCUCUUCUACCAUGUGAGCCUUCAAUUCCAUAACUUCUCAAU
Molecule: long non-coding RNA, 322 nt
Filed under: Nicotiana benthamiana
Lineage: Eukaryota; Viridiplantae; Streptophyta; Magnoliopsida; Solanales; Solanaceae
Description: long non-coding RNA (NBEN_LNC032078)
Source: RNAcentral